CAGUAGCCGCGGUAAUACAGAGGGUGCGAGCGUUAAUCGGAUUUACUGGGCGUAAAGCGUGCGUAGGCGGCUUCUUAAGUCGGAUGUGAAAUCCCUGAGCUUAACUUAGGAAUUGCAUUCGAUACUGGGAAGCUAGAGUAUGGGAGAGGAUGGUAGAAUUCCAGGUGUAGCGGUGAAAUGCGUAGAGAUCUGGAGGAAUACCGAUGGCGAAGGCAGCCAUCUGGCCUAAUACUGACGCUGAGGUACGAAAGCAUGGGGAGCAAACAGGAUUAGAUACCCCCGUAGUUCCUGUCUCUUAUAA
This 301-nucleotide ribosomal RNA is filed under the name uncultured bacterium. Its description in RNAcentral is "partial 16S ribosomal RNA". It matches the Rfam family "Bacterial small subunit ribosomal RNA", at positions 509 to 809 of the family's 1533-position model. The record is from RNAcentral.